Hippopotamus amphibius kiboko is the source of this 425-nucleotide long non-coding RNA. RefSeq lists it as uncharacterized. NCBI's taxonomy places the organism in Eukaryota, Metazoa, Chordata, Mammalia, Artiodactyla, Hippopotamidae. The transcript has 4 exons. The record is from RefSeq and is a predicted model, not a curated record.
GCUUGCUCUGUGGGUCGUGAUUUAGUGAGUGGCCAAACCUCAGAGGUGACAGAGAACCAGACUCAGAAGGACUGGGAUGGGGCCCAAGAAGGCGUGAUUUCAGCCAACCCUGAAGGGGACACGGGUUCAAUCCCUGGUCGGGGAACUAAGGUCCGACACACUGCAGAGCAACUAAGCCCUUGCUCUGCAACUACUGAGCCCACGUGCCACAACUAGAGAGAAGCCCACAUGCCUCAGUGGACGACCCUGCAGGCUGCAACUAAGACCCAACACAGCCAAAAAGCAAAAACGUCCCUGGAUUCAGAGGCUCGUUCAAGCACCGCUUUGGGGCCUGAGAAAGGCCCCGAUGGUGAGACGACCUUGCUGUCCUGAGCCCCUGCUUUCUGCUCUGCGAUGUGGAAAGCGAGUCCUUGCAGAAAGGCUGG